Molecule: ribosomal RNA, 253 nt
Filed under: uncultured bacterium
Lineage: Bacteria
Description: partial 16S ribosomal RNA
Rfam family: Bacterial small subunit ribosomal RNA
Source: RNAcentral
GACAGAGGGGGCAAGCGUUGCUCGGAAUUACUGGGCGUAAAGGGCGCGUAGGUGGGAUGGCAAGUCGGUCGUGAAAUCCCUCGGCUCAACCGAGGAACGUCGAUCGAUACUGCUGUUCUUGAGGAUUGCAGAGGAGACUGGAAUUCCCGGUGUAGCGGUGAAAUGUGUAGAGAUCGGGAGGAACACCGGUGGCGAAGGCGGGUCUCUGGGCAAUUCCUGACGCUGAGGCGCGAAAGCGUGGGGAGCAAACGGG